CGCGUAGGCGGCCUGUUAAGUCUGGGGUGAAAUCUCCCGGCUCAACUGGGAGGGGUCCUCGGAUACUGGCAGGCUGGAGGGGAGCAGAGGAGAGCGGAAUUCCCGGUGUAGUGGUGAAAUGCGUAGAUAUCGGGAGGAACACCAGUGGCGAAGGCGGCUCUCUGGGCUCUACCUGACGCUGAGGCGCGAAAGCGUGGGGAGCGAACCGGAUUAGAUACCCGGGUAGUCCACGCUGUAAACGAUGGACACUAGGUGUGGGGGGUAUCGACCCCUCCGUGCCGAAGCUAACGCUAUAAGUGUCCCGCCUGGGGAGUACGGCCGCAAGGCUAAA
Molecule: ribosomal RNA, 331 nt
Filed under: uncultured bacterium
Lineage: Bacteria
Description: bacterial SSU rRNA
Rfam family: Bacterial small subunit ribosomal RNA
Source: RNAcentral